Molecule: long non-coding RNA, 353 nt
Filed under: Nicotiana benthamiana
Lineage: Eukaryota; Viridiplantae; Streptophyta; Magnoliopsida; Solanales; Solanaceae
Description: long non-coding RNA (NBEN_LNC003893)
Source: RNAcentral
CUUGCUUGAAGUUUUCAUGUUCCAUUGUUCUCUUGUUUGGAUUUCUGCAAUUUUUCAAGUUCUGAAGUUUUUUUCGGGUCCCACUUGAGGGCAAAAAUGAGCUGAUCUUGGGUCUGAAGAAUAAUUCAAAGUUGGAUCCUGGGAUUUGUUGUGUGUCAAUUUGUGUUGAGUCUAGGUUUUUGCUAAUUGUUUUUCAAAUCUAAUGUUGUGCUAUCAAGCUGCUAGCUAACUGACCCUGUCUGGUUUUUUGUUCUAUCUCGUUUCAGGUACAUUAUACUCUACCCACUGUAAAACCUUUGUGAUAUGGAAGUCAGGAAGAUUUGGAGCAUGUUGGCCAUUUAUUCUCAUUAUAG